This 426-nucleotide ribosomal RNA is filed under the name uncultured bacterium. Its description in RNAcentral is "bacterial SSU rRNA". It matches the Rfam family "Bacterial small subunit ribosomal RNA", at positions 775 to 1197 of the family's 1533-position model. The record is from RNAcentral.
AGAAAAUAGAUACCCGGGUAGUCCACGCUGUAAACGAUGGAUACUAGGUGUAGCAGGUAUCGACCCCUGCUGUGCCGCAGCUAACGCAAUAAGUAUCCCGCCUGGGGAGUAUGGCCGCAAGGUUGAAACUCAAAGGAAUUGACGGGGGCCCGCACAAGCGGUGGAGGAUGUGGUUUAAUUCGACGCAACGCGAAGAACCUUACCAAGGCUUGACAUCCACUGAAUCUUGUAGAAAUACAGGAGUGCCCGAAAGGGAGCAGUGAGACAGGUGGUGCAUGGCUGUCGUCAGCUCGUGUCGUGAGAUGUUGGGUUAAGUCCCGCAACGAGCGCAACCCUCGACGUUAGUUACCAUCAUUCAGUUGGGGACUCUAACGUGACUGCCGGUGAUAAGCCGGAGGAAGGUGAGGACGACGUCAAGUCAUCAUG